ACCCAAGGCGGGGAUAGCAGUUGGAAACGACUAUUAAUACCGCAUAGGUAAUCGGGAGGCAUCUCCUGAUUAUUAAAGGUGCGUUUGCACCGCUGUGGGAUGGGCUUACGCUGUAUUAGCUUGUUGGUGAGGUAACGGCCCACCAAGGCGAUGAUACAUAGCCGGUCUGAGAGGAUGAACGGCCACAUUGGGACUGAGACACGGCCCAGACUCCUACGGGAGGCAGCAGUAAGGAAUUUUCGGCAAUGGACGAAAGUCUGACCGAGCAACGCCGCGUGAGUGAUUAGAAGGCCUUCGGGUCGUAAAGCUCUGUGGUAAAGGAAGAACACUAUGAUUAGGAAAUGAUUCAUAGCUGACGGUACUUUUCUAGAAAGUCACGGCUUACUACGUGCCAGCAGCCGC
This 402-nucleotide ribosomal RNA is filed under the name uncultured bacterium. RNAcentral's name for it is "bacterial SSU rRNA". It matches the Rfam family "Bacterial small subunit ribosomal RNA", at positions 129 to 518 of the family's 1533-position model. The record is from RNAcentral.